CUCAAUCGGUAGAGCGUAAGACUCUUAAUCUUAAGGUUGCGGGUUCGACCCCCGC
This 55-nucleotide transfer RNA is filed under the name Coemansia furcata. RNAcentral's name for it is "tRNA-Lys". It matches the Rfam family "tRNA", at positions 11 to 63 of the family's 71-position model. Rfam says of the family: Transfer RNA (tRNA) molecules are approximately 80 nucleotides in length. Lineage: Eukaryota; Fungi; Kickxellomycota; Kickxellomycetes; Kickxellales; Kickxellaceae. The record is from RNAcentral.